UGGAGGCAGCAGUGAGGAAUAUUGGGCAAUGGGCGAAAGCCUGACCCAGCAACGCCGCGUGAGGGAAGAAGGUUUUCGGAUUGUAAACCUCUGUCCUUGGGGACGAAAAAAAUGACGGUACCCAAGGAGGAAGCCCCGGCUAACUACGUGCCAGCAGCCGCGGUAAUACGUAGGGGGCAAGCGUUGUCCGGAAUUACUGGGCGUAAAGGGUGCGUAGGCGGUUUUUUAAGUCAGAUGUGAAAUCCCCGGGCUUAACUCGGGUGGUGCAUUUGAAACUGGGAGACUAGAGUGCAGGAGAGGGAAGCGGAAUUCCUAGUGUAGCGGUGAAAUGCGUAGAUAUUAGGAGGAACACCAGUGGCGAAGGCGGCUUUCUGGACUGUAACUGACGCUGAUGCACGAAAGCGUGGGGAGCAAACAGGAUUAGAUACCCCGGUAGUCCC
RNAcentral lists this ribosomal RNA (440 nucleotides) under uncultured bacterium. RNAcentral describes it as "bacterial SSU rRNA". It matches the Rfam family "Bacterial small subunit ribosomal RNA", at positions 343 to 797 of the family's 1533-position model. The record is from RNAcentral.